This 392-nucleotide ribosomal RNA is filed under the name uncultured bacterium. Its description in RNAcentral is "bacterial SSU rRNA". It matches the Rfam family "Bacterial small subunit ribosomal RNA", at positions 31 to 450 of the family's 1533-position model. The record is from RNAcentral.
GUACGCUGGCGGCACGCCUAACACAUGCAAGUCGAACGAAGUAGCAAUACUUAGUGGCAGACGGGUGAGUAACAUGUAGGUAUCUGCCCUUUGGCCUGGAAUAACACGAGGAAACUUGUGCUAAUACCGGAUAAGUCUUUACGGAGAAAGCUUUAUGCACCAUUGGAUGAGCCUGCACUUGAUUAGUUUGUUGGUGGGGUAAUGGCCUACCAAGACUGUGAUCAAUAGCUGAUUUGAGAGGAUGAUCAGCCACAUUGGGACUGAGACACGGCCCAAACUCCUACGGGAGGCAGCAGUGGGGAAUCUUGCACAAUGGAGGAAACUCUGAUGCAGCGAUGCCGCGUGAGUGAAGAAGGCCUUUGGGUUGUAAAGCUCUUUCGUCGGGGAAGAAA